RNAcentral lists this ribosomal RNA (465 nucleotides) under Vreelandella stevensii. Its description in RNAcentral is "partial 16S ribosomal RNA". It matches the Rfam family "Bacterial small subunit ribosomal RNA", at positions 338 to 795 of the family's 1533-position model. Lineage: Bacteria; Pseudomonadati; Pseudomonadota; Gammaproteobacteria; Oceanospirillales; Halomonadaceae. The record is from RNAcentral.
CCUACGGGGGGCUGCAGUGGGGAAUAUUGGACAAUGGGGGCAACCCUGAUCCAGCCAUGCCGCGUGUGUGAAGAAGGCCCUCGGGUUGUAAAGCACUUUCAGUGAGGAAGAACGCCUGGUGGUUAAUACCCAUCAGGAAAGACAUCACUCACAGAAGAAGCACCGGCUAACUCCGUGCCAGCAGCCGCGGUAAUACGGAGGGUGCGAGCGUUAAUCGGAAUUACUGGGCGUAAAGCGCGCGUAGGUGGCUUGAUAAGCCGGUUGUGAAAGCCCCGGGCUCAACCUGGGAACGGCAUCCGGAACUGUCAAGCUAGAGUGCAGGAGAGGAAGGUAGAAUUCCCGGUGCAGCGGUGAAAUGCGUAGAGAUCGGGAGGAAUACCAGUGGCGAAGGCGGCCUUCUGGACUGACACUGACACUGAGGUGCGAAAGCGUGGGUAGCAAACAGGAUUAGAUACCCUGGUAGUC